Molecule: non-coding RNA, 57 nt
Filed under: Plasmodium falciparum 3D7
Lineage: Eukaryota; Apicomplexa; Aconoidasida; Haemosporida; Plasmodiidae
Source: RNAcentral
UUGUUAAAAGAGAAAUCGGAUGAGCACUCUUGUUGUCCCAUAUGGUAUCUGAGGUGU